GGAUGCGAUCAUACCAGCACUAAAGCACCGGAUCCCAUCAGAACUCCAAAGUUAAGCGUGCUUGGGCGAGAGUAGUACUAGGAUGGGUGACCUCCUGGGAAGUCCUCGUGUUGCAUUCU
RNAcentral lists this ribosomal RNA (119 nucleotides) under Triticum aestivum (bread wheat). Lineage: Eukaryota; Viridiplantae; Streptophyta; Magnoliopsida; Poales; Poaceae. RNAcentral also lists the same sequence under 1 other name. The record is from RNAcentral.